ACCAAUUGUCUUGCUUUGAUACCACUUAUUGUGCUCUGGUACUGGUUGUUGCUCUCUAAUACCACUUGUGCUAUAAAAGCGUCAUUUGUUGUGGUUUGAUACUACUUUUGCGCAAAUGUAGAAUUAAUACACACCAAAUAUUCACAAAAAAAAAAAAGCGAAACAAGAAUUUUACGUGAUUCGACAAUAAAAAUACAUCCACGGAAACAAAAGAGGAUAAUUAUUUUACUAACAAUUAAUAGAUUACAAAUUAGAGUAAUUAUCAAAAUAUAUCCAUUACUCUCACAUAUUUUAAAAGAAACAUUUUUCCUAAGACAAACAUUCUCUCACAUCUCUACAAAUAACCCAACUCAACACCCAAGCAAACGCUCUCCCAAACUUUCUAAGAACUCACUUGCAGAUAAUCUCUUUCUCUGAAAUCUCUCAUUGAUAACUCUCUUGAAUAUUCUCUUAGAGAGCUCUUCACCUAAACUCUC
This 476-nucleotide long non-coding RNA is filed under the name Citrus maxima (pomelo). RNAcentral describes it as "long non-coding RNA (CMAX_LNC000575)". The record is from RNAcentral. Lineage: Eukaryota; Viridiplantae; Streptophyta; Magnoliopsida; Sapindales; Rutaceae.